RNAcentral lists this ribosomal RNA (494 nucleotides) under uncultured bacterium. RNAcentral describes it as "partial 16S ribosomal RNA". It matches the Rfam family "Bacterial small subunit ribosomal RNA", at positions 29 to 507 of the family's 1533-position model. The record is from RNAcentral.
AUGAACGCUGGCGGCGUGCCUAAUACAUGCAAGUAGAACGCUGAAGGAGGAGCUUGCUCUUCUGGAUGAGUUGCGAACGGGUGAGUAACGCGUAGGUAACCUGCCUGGUAGCGGGGGAUAACUAUUGGAAACGAUAGCUAAUACCGCAUGACAACAGUUAUUGCAUGAUAACUGUUUAAAAGGGGCAACUGCUCCACUACCAGAUGGACCUGCGUUGUAUUAGCUAGUUGGUGAGGUAACGGCUCACCAAGGCGACGAUACAUAGCCGACCUGAGAGGGUGAUCGGCCACACUGGGACUGAGACACGGCCCAGACUCCUACGGGAGGCAGCAGUAGGGAAUCUUCGGCAAUAGACGGAAGUCUGACCGAGCAACGCCGCGUGAGUGAAGAAGGUUGUCGGAUCGUAAAGCUCUGUUGUAAGAGAAGAACGAGUGUGAGAGUGGAAAGUUCACACUGUGACGGUAUCUUACCAGAAAGGGACGGCUAACUACGUG